RNAcentral lists this ribosomal RNA (491 nucleotides) under uncultured bacterium. RNAcentral's name for it is "partial 16S ribosomal RNA". It matches the Rfam family "Bacterial small subunit ribosomal RNA", at positions 29 to 507 of the family's 1533-position model. The record is from RNAcentral.
AGUGAACGCUGGCGGUAGGCCUAACACAUGCAAGUCGAACGGCAGCACAGUAAGAGCUUGCUCUUACGGGUGGCGAGUGGCGGACGGGUGAGGAAUACAUCGGAAUCUACUUUUUCGUGGGGGAUAACGUAGGGAAACUUACGCUAAUACCGCAUACGACCUACGGGUGAAAGCAGGGGAUCUUCGGACCUUGCGCGAUUGAAUGAGCCGAUGUCGGAUUAGCUAGUUGGCGGGGUAAAGGCCCACCAAGGCGACGAUCCGUAGCUGGUCUGAGAGGAUGAUCAGCCACACUGGAACUGAGACACGGUCCAGACUCCUACGGGAGGCAGCAGUGGGGAAUAUUGGACAAUGGGCGCAAGCCUGAUCAAGCCAUACCGCGGGGGUGAAGAAGGCCUUCGGGUUGUAAAGCCCUUUUGUGGGGAAAGAAAGGCAGCAGGUUAAUACCCCGCUGUUCUGACGGUACCAAAAGAAUAAGCACCGGCUAACUCGUG